Molecule: ribosomal RNA, 459 nt
Filed under: uncultured bacterium
Lineage: Bacteria
Description: SSU rRNA
Rfam family: Bacterial small subunit ribosomal RNA
Source: RNAcentral
AGAAUCAACGCUGGCGGCGUGCCUAACACAUGCAAGUCGCACGAGAAAGGGACUUCGGUCCUGAGUAAAGUGGCGCACGGGUGAGUAACACGUGAAUCAUCUACCUCCGAAUGGGGAAUAACUGAGAGAAAUCUUAGCUAAUACCGCAUAAUACCUACGGGUCAAAGCAGCAAUGCGUUUGGAGAGGAGUUCGCGGUCGAUUAGUUAGUUGGCGGGGUAAUGGCCCACCAAGACGAUGAUCGAUAUCCGGCCUGAGAGGGCGCACGGACACACUGGAACUGAAACACGGUCCAGACUCCUACGGGAGGCAGCAGUGGGGAAUUUUGCGCAAUGGGGGAAACCCUGACGCAGCAACGCCGCGUGGAGGAUGAAAUAUCUUGGUACGUAAACUCCUUUCGAUGGGGAAGAUAAUGACGGUACCCAUAGAAGAAGCCCGGCUAACUUCGUGCCAGCAGCCGC